UCAAGCUUACUAUCGAAUCGUUCAGUUUUGUGUGCAAGCCAAACUGAAUAGAGAGACCCAUCAAACUUCAUAAUUUCGAAUUUAUAAACCAUGUGUUUUCUUCCGUUGAUUUUUAUCCUAGCCUUAUCCUUGUGGCUAUACCAGCUGAAUAAGAAAUAUUUCUUAUUGUGUCUAUGCAAACGAGUACGCUGUGUAGAUGCCAGUCAAUCGAAGGAUAAAAUCUGUUUCAUACCGGGUGUUGUGCCACAGCUGGGAAAUACUAUUGAUUUCCUAAAUUUUAACGCAGAAAUGCUAUUUCAAUAUCCCGAAAAUGUCUUCGCUAUUCGAAGGGCAGGAGUUAUAUUCUUUACAUUCUUAGAGCUCCAUUUUACUGCAUUGCUACAGCGGAAGAUUCUUCCGAAGUGUUCGAUAGCACCGAGUUAAUACAUAAAUCUGUAAUUUAUGUAUAUUUGAAACAAUUUUUAGGCGAUGGAUUGCUCUUAAGUUCGGAUACCAAAUGGUCUUCGAGGCGCAAAAUGCUGACCCCAGCUUUUCAUUUCAGUAUAUUACAGGCAUUCAAUGAAAUUUUCAA
Molecule: long non-coding RNA, 571 nt
Organism: Stomoxys calcitrans (stable fly)
Lineage: Eukaryota; Metazoa; Arthropoda; Insecta; Diptera; Muscidae
Exons: 3
Source: RefSeq, a predicted model, not a curated record